RNA transcript from Bubalus bubalis (water buffalo), 3410 nucleotides. It is a transcript of the gene named transcobalamin 2, with no coding region annotated. The transcript is spliced from 9 exons. The record is from RefSeq and is a predicted model, not a curated record. Lineage: Eukaryota; Metazoa; Chordata; Mammalia; Artiodactyla; Bovidae.
CCCAGCUCCCAGUCCCGCUCUCCUGUCCCAGGCCGGGGUGGGCAGUUUCAGGGGCUCCUUCUGGGAGGGGUAGCAGGUAGGCACCCCAGCCGUGCCUGUCUACUGCGGGAACGGCCGAGGGCAUACAGACAGGCGUGGCUGGACAGACUCAGCAGUCAGACGUUCUGCACCCGCGUCCAGGGCUCUUCGGGCAGAGGGGAAAGUGUGGAUGGCCGCACUCGCCCCUGCCCCCGCCUCCAGGAAGGCCUGCGCAGCUCUGCCCUUCCUUCCCCUGUUCUUUGGCCUCCCUUUCCCCUCAGCUACAGACCUUUUCCCUUUUCCCUCCGCUGACUUAGCAGUGUGCUGCCGGGCGUGGAGGGAUUAAUCAGUGACAGGAAGCUGCCUCUUUCGGAGCAGUGACCACUGUGGUCAGGAGAGCCUCUCUCUACCCGGCCAGCCCUAGGAGCCUGUCCCGCUCCCCGCCUGCUGUCCAGCCCCUGCUCCUGCCAUGGGGCACCUCGGGGCCCUCCUCUUCCUGCUGGGGGGCCUGGGAGCGCUAGCCCACAUCUGCGAGAUAACCGAGGUGGACAGCACGCUGGUGGAGAGGCUGGGCCAGCGCCUCUUGCCCUGGAUGGACCGGCUCUCCCCGGAGCAGCUGAACCCCAGUAUCUACGUGGGCCUGCGCCUCUCGAGCCUGCAGGCUGGGGCCAAGGAGGCCCACUACCUGCACAGCCUCAAGCUCAGCUACCAGCAGAGCCUCCUGAGGCCUGCCUCCAACAAGGAUGACAGUGACUCCGAGGCCAAGCCCUCCAUGGGCCAGCUGGCCCUCUACCUGCUGGCUCUCCGGGCCAACUGCGAGUUCAUCGGAGGCCGCAAGGGGGACAGGCUGGUCUCCCAGCUGAAGCGGUUCCUGGAGGACGAGAAGAGGGCCAUCGGGCACAACCACCAGGGCCACCCCCGCACCAGCUACUACCAGUAUGGCCUGGGCAUCCUGGCCCUGUGUGUCCACCAGAAGCGAGUCCAUGACAGUGUGGUGGGCAAGCUCCUGUAUGCCGUGGAACACAAGCCGCAUCUUCUGCAGGACCACGUCUCUGUGGACACCAUGGCCAUGGCAGGCAUGGCCUUCUCCUGUCUGGAGCUGUCCAACCUCAACCCCAAGCAGAGAAACCGGAUCAACCUGGCCCUCAAGAGAGUGCAAGAGAAGAUCCUGAAGGCCCAGACCCCAGAGGGCUACUUCGGGAAUGUCUACAGCACCCCUCUGGCUUUGCAGUUGCUGAUGGGUUCCCUCAGGCCCUCGGUGGAGCUGGGCACGGCCUGCCUCAAAGCCAAGGCUGCUCUGCAGGCCAGCCUACAGCACAAGACCUUCCAGAACCCUCUCAUGAUCUCUCAGCUGCUGCCCAUCCUGAACCAGAAGAGCUAUGUGGAUCUCAUCUCCCCAGACUGCCAGGCUCCAAGAGCCCUGUUGGAACCGGCUCCAGAGACCCCGCCACAGGCCCAAGUCCCGAAGUUCAUUGACGUCUUGCUGAAGGUCUCCAGCAUCUCCCCUUCAUACAGACACUCUGUCUCUGUCCCUGCCGGCUCCUCCCUGGAAGACGUUCUGAAGAAUGCCCAGGAGCAUGGAAGAUUCAGGGUCACGCACUUAGUAAGCGCUCAACACAGGCUAGCUUUCAGAAGGAUGAGACUUUUUAGUAUCAAACGAUCCUGGUCCGAUCCCUGUGAUGAAGGAGUCACCUGGCCAAGCCUUCUGCAGAGUGCGGUGGGACAAGGGCCUUCCUCUUGCUUCUCACCCUGAGAUGGGAUGGAUCUGAGAUGAGUGUUUCCAGAGCGCUGCUCUGGGCCCCGCCAUGUCCACACCUGAAUAAGAUGGGAGGGGUCCCCGGCGGGGAUCGGCCCAGAGGAUGAGUGCCUCCCAGCGGACCCCACGGCCUGCAGCGCACUGAUGGCCGCACCGCUGGGCCCACACACACCGGGUGCCCUUGGCAGGCCCUGGGAUCACCUAGCGGACGUGCAUACUCAGUCGCUCGGGCGUGUCCGACUCUUUGGCGACCCCAUGGACGGUAGCCCGCCAGGCUCCUCUGUCCGUGGGAUUUCUCAGGCAAGAAUACUGGAGUGGGUUGCCAUUUCCUUCUCUAGGGGAUCUUCCUAAUGCAGGGAUCGAAGCCGCAUCUCUUACAUCUCCUGCAAUUGUCAGGCAAAUUCCUUAUCACUGAGCCACCUGGGAUUACCAAGGUCGUGUUUGGACAUUGUCGUCAAAAUGGAAAAAAAAAAUUGAACUUUUUUUUUUGGCCACACCACGGCAUGUGGGAUCUUAGUUUCCAUAGCAGAGUCGAACCCACACUCCCUUGCAGUGUAAGCGAAGAGUCUCAACCACGGACCACCAGGGAAGUCCCAACUUGGACAGUUUUAUUCAGAACUGCAGGACCUCUGAGAAAAUGUCAGGGAUACCAAUCUGAGAAAUGAUUCUCUUGGUGGUAGAGAGGGUGCCUGAGCUGGGUUCAGGGGCCAGAAGGGAGGCAUGUUUGAGGCACAUGAGUGCAUGGCAGAGAAAGCCGGACUCUGGAAGGAGAGAGAGGAAGAGAGACAGGCGGCGAGGAAGAGACAGAAAGAGGGGAGAGAGCAAUGGAGCGAGGCAGGCCAGCAGCGCUCUGGGCAGCCACGUGGCCCCCGAAACCUGGGUACGGGCUGCUCCCUAAAACCUUCCCUUUGACCAGGUCACCCUGAGGGCAUUUCUGUUUCUUAAAACUAUGAAAACCUUCCCUCUCCAAGGCCAAUGCUACUGAUAAGGAGAGAGGACCGCCACGGCAUUUGAAGAGAGUCAUUUUGGCAGCCGUGUCCAUACUCAGGAAGGGGUGGUAUGGAGUGUCUUGGUUGCAAAGGCCAGGAAUCUAAUCCAAGCCUCUCUAGUAGCAGGCAGCAUGGGGUGUGUAGACUCGGAGGGAAGACUGAGCAGCCCAGCUGAGAGAAUGGGGGUGCCCCUGAGCCACAGAGGGGGCUUCCCUGGUGGCUCAGUGGUUAAAAAAACCCGCCUGCCAAUGCAGGAGACUCGGGUUCGAUCUCUGGGUCGGGAAGAUCCCCUGGAGGAGGAAAUGGCAACCCACUCUAGUACUCUUGCCUGGGAGAUGCCAUGGACAGAGGAGCCUUGCGAGUUACAGUCCAUGGAAUCCCCAAAGAGCCUGACACGACUUAGCGACUAAACAACAACUGAGCCACGAAAACGCCACCGGUGUCUCUGCCUCUGUCUCACCUGCUCUACUUCUUCCUCCUGUUGGCCUCACUCUGGGUGUGGGCAGCUUCUGAUUCUCACCCCACUGCAAGGUUUAGAACACAGGCCUCCCUGUCCGGCCCCUUCCUGACUUCCGUGCUGGGGAGAAAGGCUGGGGAACGUGAGUUCUGGCAGGUCCUCCGAGAUCCUGACACCCCCUUGCAGCAAG